CACCGUCGUCACGGACGAGUGCUUGGUAUCUAAAUACAAAACAAUAAGUGAUGCCGUCACGUCGUGAUUCGCUAUUGGAAUGCAAUUAUCUGUACGUGCCACGUGUCACGAUCUUGAGAUAACCACAAUUUGCUCUUGUCGAGAAGAUAAUCGACGCGAACCUUCAAACAAACGCCUGCUGGAUUCAUUUCAAAACAAAUUUUUACAAGAGAAUGGAACGAGCGGUCUGCCCCUCAAUUAUGCGAUUGAAACAGCAAACGAACAAAAGCGACGUCACAAUGACGCCUCGAUACUUAUGCUGAUUUACGGGUAUGUAGCAUUCAAAUCACGGUAACGUAACGCUCGUUCCUGGCACGCGGCCAAUACAACGUUUUACAUGGAACUCAUUCAUGCGAAAUUACGCAAGCGAUCGGCGCAUAAAUCGGUGCAUCCCGUCAAGAACGGGAACGAAAUACGCGGCGCAGAGAGAAUGAUCCUAAAGAUCAUAAAUCAGGAUGAAAUGAAGGAAUGAAAUAGUGGCUUUACUUCAAGGAUCAUAUAUGGAAUGGCCGAUGCAAACUUCUUUUCACAUGUAAAUUUAUUCAGACGUUAACCCUUUUCAAAAACCAUACAGUUAACCCUUCAUUACUCGCGUGUAGCAUUCCCACUU
Acromyrmex echinatior (Panamanian leafcutter ant) is the source of this 649-nucleotide long non-coding RNA. RefSeq lists it as uncharacterized. The record is from RefSeq and is a predicted model, not a curated record. Lineage: Eukaryota; Metazoa; Arthropoda; Insecta; Hymenoptera; Formicidae.